GGCCGCCUGGCGAAAUGGCAUCGCGUCUGACUACGAUCGGACAUAAGCUUGUGACAUUGUAAUCAGGAGAUUGCAGGUUCGACCCCUGCGGUGGUCA
Non-coding RNA from Mycena haematopus, 97 nucleotides. The record is from the annotation of a GenBank genome assembly. Lineage: Eukaryota; Fungi; Basidiomycota; Agaricomycetes; Agaricales; Mycenaceae.